This 356-nucleotide unclassified non-coding RNA is filed under the name Athalia rosae (coleseed sawfly). RNAcentral's name for it is "misc RNA ENSAEAG00005008812.1". The record is from RNAcentral. Lineage: Eukaryota; Metazoa; Arthropoda; Insecta; Hymenoptera; Athaliidae.
CGCUUCGGUACCCUGGGAGUACCUGUAACGUUUGUACUCGUGGAUCGACCGAAUAAGAGUUCUCCGCGUCUCUGCGAUGAUCAAUAAUUAAUGAAACUACGGAAAUAUCACGGUGACAUCGGAUGUCGAGAGACGAUCCGCUCUAUUUAUAGGUGUUCGCCGGACGAGAAGAAUCCGAAGAGAGAGGGUGAGGGCGAAGAAUUUUCACCUGUACACUCGGUGACGUGAUCGAAUCGAAGGUGUGAAUGAGAGAUAGCGAAACAUGAACGGCAUAUAAUCGCAUCUCUUGUUACGUCAACGAGAUUGGAAUUGGGUUAGUCCAGGCCGUGAAUUCCCGGGCUGCGGGUCGAAAGGGG